AAUAAUUUCAUAAAAGGAUACGUAUGUAAGGAUAGUAACCCUAAGAAUUGGUCAUAAAAUGAUCUUAAUACGGUAUUUAUUCUAUCUUAAUUUUCUUCUAACUUUUAUCCAACCUCGGUAAUUCUGCUACUCUGUAUCAAACAUUUAUCAAACAAGCUAAGAUUCCAAUUUCCUCAUUUUCAGAACUACGAUUCCCUUUAGAUCUUGCAGUUAAGAUCACAGGACGAUCAUUCGCCCGCACCUUCGCAGGAUACGCUUCCAAAGCUGUAUUUUAUACCAGGAUGGAAACGCGAUAUUUGGAAACGCGACGUAGAUAAGUGGAAUGCCCUGUACAGAGACGCGUUUGCAUACACGCCGGUGUAUAUCUAGAUGCUACAUGCAUCUGCGGCCGUCCGUUGAACGUGCAUGCACGCGAGUUUAACGAGUGCAGCAAAGGCUGGCGCCAAACGGCGAUCCUAACAUCGGCCAACCGAUUCGCGAUCUCUGCCUUCUACGAUAAUCCUCUGCGAUGGCAUACUGUUGUCCGCUGUGGAAACGUGAUCGAGCAUGAUCGAGCCUCGUGCUUACAGCCUAUCCUAAUAGAUAUCAUAAUGAACGUACAAAGUCGGGCAAAUACUGGCAUUGCAUAGGUCUGGAGAAUGGGAAUAUUGUGAUAGGUAUAUUACUACAGAAUUAUACAUCAUAUCUUUUAUAGAAAAUAUUUUUGAUAGCUGUAAGUGUUAAUUAUUAAUGUGGAAAGUAUUUUUAAGGUCUAAAGGAAAUUUCUAUCGUUGGUACUGAAAAUGAUUUACAUAUAUCUGAAAUUUUGAGGAAAACUGGCUAUUAUUAAAUACAGAAGUGACAGUAGAGAGAAGGAAACGGUACGUGUAAGGGGCCACGAGACUAUUUUUCACUCAUGAAUGAAGCGAUGCGAACGUAAAAGUACUUUAUCCAUCAUAUUCGUUAUCAAGGACAUGACAAUGCACAGAGUAUUUUUACCACAGAAUUUCCAGCUCUGAGAGUAUCCUACAAUCCCUAGUGUUCCAGCACGUAUCACGAGUAUUUAUAUAUUAUAAUUGUUACACACAGAACAAAUGUGACUCCUUGAAUAGCGCUGACUGAAUAAUUUUGAUAAGCCUAUAUAUGCAUAGAUAGGGCAAACAACGCUUUGUAAGAAUGCGUUCUAAUCGUAAAUGCGUUCAGCAACCGGUGACCCAGAAUGUUAAUACUUUCUCCUUCCUUAAGUAUUCUUUUGUUCUUCGUUCAAAUGCACCUGUAUUGUUCCCGCAACACACAACUGUUCCGUGACAAAGCGAUAACGGGUCACGAAGGUUCCAAUACAAUGUUCAGAGGAGAAUACUACCUACAUAAGUAAACACGUACGAACAGUCGCUGGUGGACCAUCGAAUUGAACUCCGAAAAUAAAACGAUACGUGGCUAAGUAGGCUGGAAGAGAAAAUUUGUUUCUCCUACUAUUUUUUUUUAAAGCUAUUCGAAACGUAACAUGUUCAAAAUGGAAAUAUAAUAGUGAUCAAUCAGCUACGUCAGAAUUAAAAUGAUUGAUGCGAUGGAUAUUUAAAGUCGUGUGUGGCAAAUAAUGCUUUUUUUGGAAUAUGUUCAUCGAUAGAGAAUUUUGAUAUUAUAUAAUUUUAUGUAUAUUAGUGUUAUUAAUAGAUAGUAUAAUUCAAUAAUGCUACAAUAUUAUCAGUAAUAGUAUAAGAUACUUAAAGCUUUUUGGAAUCUUGGCAAGUGUAGAAUUUUAUGUCUAUGAUAGGCUUUCAGUCUUUAAAGUUUGGUAAACUUCAACAUUUAUCAAAAUUUGAAAAUUUCAAAUAUAAAUAUAGGUAUAAUGAAUGUAAAUAUAGUUCAAGUAUAGAUAGAUACAAUAUUCAUGAAGUCUAACUUCAAUAAUGUUUGAAAUGAAAAGAUUAUGUCCAUCUAAAAAUAAUUAAGUUACACAGAUUAAGGAACCUGUUACGAUUAUUAUAAAAAAAAUUAAUUAUUAAAUAGCUGAUAACACAGAUAACAAAAUAAUCUGUUUAGAAUUCCAAUAAGACAAAAUGGUUUUCCAAAUAAGAUCUUUAAUUAGAGAUAAAGUACUCGCGUGUAAUACAAAGCUCGUUCUAAGCUAAAUAGCGAAACGUAAUUAGAAAAAAAUUAUGCUUGUGGUAAUGGUACAUUAGAAUUGCUAUUUCAUUACAACAAGGAACCUUGAGCCGUGAUGGUUAAGUAUUGAAACUAGAACGAUUGUUUCUUUUUUUUCUUUGGUAAGACUAACUCCAAUAAUUCCUUGAUUUACUGCAUCUUAUAAUCUUGUUAGUUAAUUAGCAUUUUCUUAUUUACAGCAUGUAUAGAGAAACAAAUUACGUAAACUUACGUAAAGAUAACAGGAUAUGAAGUGUAACAGGAUUAUCUUAUCGAAUGAAAAUAUAAAUUUGUUCAGCGAAGAAAUGAUAAAGCUAUAAUCAUGAAAGCGUAUGAAGACGGGAAAGAGAUACAAUAAAACGCGAUUUUCUGAGAUGAUGUUGGGAAAAAAGCACGCAAGAUCGUGCGACCACAAUAUUACCACACUGUGGAGAUUACAUUCGAGCAGGGAGACACCAGAUUUUCAUCGAUGUCGUUGCGAAAUCUCUAAUCGAAGGAAGUCAUCAUAGACUUGAACCGUGCCGGAAGCCUUGGAACUCGAAAGUGGACAACGAAAACUCCUGUGUGCAACUUGAACCUUAUCGUCACAUAGCCAAUCACCUCCUCCUCGUGAUAUCUUAAUUCCACGGAAUUGAGAUUCGAGUCAAAUGCAACAAAGAUGACCAUCUCAGAUUAAAAUUUAUGCGCGUCUGACUUCCCGCGGACCAGCAGAAGAAAAUUCAUUGACCUUAUUACUGGAAUGGUGGUCAUUUGCAUGCAAGUAAAGGCAUGAAUAAAAUUACUGAUAUUUGUCAUAUAUUAUAUGCUAAUCAUUCAUUGGAUUAUUUAUAACAAUUAUUAACAACGCGUUCAGUAUCGCGUGUUUCUCAUGUAAUUCAAACUUUUUAUUCAAGCUUUUGUUUUCAAUGCGUAUAACGUAAGUGGUGAUGUGAAUUACAUACGCAUAUAUGCAUAGUAAACGCGAUAUACUAAACACGACAUGCAUAAUAAAGCAAACUCAGCCUGUAAACAUCAAAACUACAUGUCAACAACUAAGCCAUAGAUCAUAUACUAGAAAAAUUGAAAUCAAAGGUACAUGAAAAAAUGUACAGCGCAAGGGGGAAAUAUGCAAUUUGCUUUAUGCAAAUAUUUUUCAAAAAAUUGCUCAGACCUCCAAAAAUGCACUGUUGUGAAUAUAUAAGUUAAACAAAAAUUAUGAAUCCGUUAUUUCUCAUUGUCAUAGUUCUAAUGUCAAUAUUUUAAUUGUAUAUUCUUGCAUCUUAAUCUUCUUUUUCGAAAUGCAUAAAAAUCUGAAAUUUACAGAACUCUAUUUAUAGCUUACACGCGAAUUACCGGAAUGGUAUCUAGCAAUUUAUAAAAUCAUUUGAAUAAUCAUACGCGUUAGCGUAUAAUUUGUAAUCUUGACUGAGGUUUCGAGUCCUUACUUUCUUAGUUUCUAUCGAUUCGCUCAGAUACCCGGGAACAUGUAACUGUUGACGAUUAAUUUGUUUUACAACAGUAUGUCGUGAAAGCCAGUAAAACAACUUACUUGAAUCCCCCAGAAGUCAGCAUCGUUGGAACAAUUUCGCGAAUUGUCUUGUCGGAAGUGGAGCAGCACGUUUAACGAUUAAUUUUCAUCAAAACGUUACGUGGAUCUUAAUGGCGACCGUUUAUGGUCAUUAUAUCAAAACGAUCUAACCAUGAUUGAUACCAGCACCAACGAUGGCAGCUGUAUCUGAUUUGGACGUUCUUCUAAUAAGACCCGACAAAAUCAUCCUCUUGGACCCGGAUAAACAGGCCACGUUGGAUAUUCUCGCAUUAAUAUCAAUUUCUUCGAUGCCACGAUAUUCAGAGAAGAUAGCCAAAGUCGUCUUAUUGAUUCUUGUUCCUCCAGCGUUGACAUUUCUUGCUGGAGAUCAAUCCGAUUACGCCAAUAGUUGGAACAGCUUCUUCUUCACGAGAUGUCCUUAUGAAUCGGCUCUUAUAGUUGGUAGAUAGUUUGACGUCUGUAAAUGAACGGAUAAUGAAUGAAGAAAGCUUGUUAAAAAAGAUUUAACAAGAUGGAACAAAUUUUUUAUUAUAGUUUUGCACAACAAUUAAUGAAGUAUUUAAUAGGUAUAAAUAGCUUGUUUGAAAGGUUGGUAACGCUAAUUUUCUGCAUACCAGUUGAGCUCUUGGGAAGUAGAAGUAGAACCCAAGGAAGAUAGUAGGAAGGAAGACAGAAAAAGAAAACAGAAAGGAAUUAGGUCAUUCCUGUUCCAAUCCUGAAAUCAGCAAGUAUAAAGAUUGAAAAAUGGUUAUGAAGAGUAACGUGAACGAUAUUCCUUCAGCGAAACAGAAUCCACUAUUUUCAUUUCUAAAAACUAUUACCACUCGAUUGUUUAUCGAUAAAAAAAAUCGCUGACGCCCUUGGGUUGAUUUGGAUGUUUCGCACGAUGCUCACGUAUUUCAUAUUUUCCUGCCUAUUUUUUGCAAACGUGACGAUUUUAAUUAACGCUGAGACACUAAUGAAGCUUAAAUCACCCGUCAACUAAUUGCCGAUAUUUAUUAUCUUCGGUAAUAAUACGUACAAUUAUCUGCAACAUGUAGCUUUGAGUAUACAGAUUGUUAAUAAAUUUUAAUUUCUCAUAAAAGAAAACGAACACAUUUUAUAAAAAAUUGUUUAAGUAAUAUUUAUUGGAAAUAUUUAAUUAAAUGAUAGUCAAAAAUGCUAUGAUUCAAAAACGUCGCUGAGCAACAAUCAUAUAGAAUGUCGAUAAUGAAAAAAUAUCUGUCGAUCCUGAUACUGUUGCAGAUGGUACAUUGAUGCUUAAUUGAUUAUGCGAAUCUAUUUCACUUCUUCAUCUUCUUUCAUUUGACAGCAGGCAGGAAGCCAGAGAUUCAAACCUUUCUCUCGAGCCUGCGACGAGUGGUCGAUUUCACUGGUUUCCCUUCUGUCUCACGCGUUUGUUCAUGUUCUUUGCGUUAUGAAGCAUCAGUGAUCUACCACGAUGACCAGAAAUAAAAUUAUCGAUAAGAAAACAAAGAUGUCUUUCACCGUACUGUUUAAACAAGAUGGAUAUAAUAAAACAAAAUAUCCUCUUAUGUUCAAAAUCGUUGUAUGACCUUCGUUUUAUUGAUAUUAUAUUUUGUUUUCACGAUAUUAUAUUUUAUAUCUCAUUUUUUAUAUGUCCAAUGGUACCGUAUUUAUAAUUGUCAUAAGAUAAUCGUUAUUAAUAUUAUGAAAUAAAAUUUUAUGCAAGCAUUAUCUUUCAUCUAAUAGUAAGAUUUUCAAAGAUAUAUCUCUUUUUCU
Bombus impatiens (common eastern bumble bee) is the source of this 5395-nucleotide long non-coding RNA. RefSeq lists it as uncharacterized. The transcript has 7 exons. The record is from RefSeq and is a predicted model, not a curated record. Lineage: Eukaryota; Metazoa; Arthropoda; Insecta; Hymenoptera; Apidae.